This 274-nucleotide ribosomal RNA is filed under the name uncultured bacterium. Its description in RNAcentral is "partial 16S ribosomal RNA". It matches the Rfam family "Bacterial small subunit ribosomal RNA", at positions 523 to 796 of the family's 1533-position model. The record is from RNAcentral.
AUACGGAGGGUGCAAGCGUUAAUCGGAAUUACUGGGCGUAAAGCGUACGUAGGCGGUCCGUUAAGUUAGAUGAGAAAGCCCCGGGCUUAACCUGGGAACUGCAUUUAAAACUGGCGGACUAGAGUUGAGUAGAGGGGAGUGGAAUUUCAGGUGUAGCGGUGAAAUGCGUAGAGAUCUGAAGGAACACCAGUGGUGAAGGCGACUCCCUGGACUCGAACUGACGCUGAGGUACGAAAGCGUGGGUAGCAAACGGGAUUAGAAACCCCAGUAGUCC